This 440-nucleotide ribosomal RNA is filed under the name uncultured bacterium. RNAcentral describes it as "partial 16S ribosomal RNA". It matches the Rfam family "Bacterial small subunit ribosomal RNA", at positions 338 to 795 of the family's 1533-position model. The record is from RNAcentral.
CCUACGGGUGGCUGCAGUGAGGGAUAUUGGUCAAUGGGGGAAACCCUGAACCAGCAACGCCGCGUGAGGGAAGACGGUUUUCGGAUUGUAAACCUCUGUUCUCUGUGAAGAAAAUGCCGGUAUCUAACUAUUCAGCACCGUCUAACCCCGGGCCAGCAGCCGCGGUAAUACGGAGGGUGCAAGCGUUACUCGGAAUCACUGGGCGUAAAGAGCGCGUAGGCGGGAUAGCAAGUCAGAUGUGAAAUCCUAUGGCUUAACCAUAGAACUGCAUUUGAAACUGUUAGUCUAGAGUGUGGGAGAGGUAGGCGGAAUUCUUGGUGUAGGGGUAAAAUCCGUAGAGAUCAAGCAGAAUACUGAUUGCGAAGGCGACCUGCUAGAACAUAACUGACGCUGAUGCGCGAAAGCGUGGGGAGCAAACAGGAUUAGAUACCCCUGUAGUC